This 497-nucleotide ribosomal RNA is filed under the name uncultured bacterium. Its description in RNAcentral is "partial 16S ribosomal RNA". It matches the Rfam family "Bacterial small subunit ribosomal RNA", at positions 28 to 507 of the family's 1533-position model. The record is from RNAcentral.
GAUGAACGCUGGCGGCGUGCCUAAUACAUGCAAGUCGAGCGAACGGACAAGAAGCUUGCUUCUCUGAUGUUAGCGGCGGACGGGUGAGUAACACGUGGAUAACCUACCUAUAAGACUGGGAUAACUUCGGGAAACCGGAGCUAAUACCGGAUAAUAUUUUGAACCGCAUGGUUCAAAAGUGAAAGACGGUCUUGCUGUCACUUAUAGAUGGAUCCGCGCUGCAUUAGCUAGUUGGUAAGGUAACGGCUUACCAAGGCAACGAUGCAUAGCCGACCUGAGAGGGGGAUCGGCCACACUGGAACUGAGACACGGUCCAGACUCCUACGGGAGGCAGCAGUAGGGAAUCUUCCGCAAUGGGCGAAAGCCUGACGGAGCAACGCCGCGUGAGUGAUGAAGGUCUUCGGAUCGUAAAACUCUGUUAUUAGGGAAGAGCAUAUGUGUAAGUAACUGUGCACAUCCUGACGGUACCUAAUCAGAAAGCCACGGCUAACUACGUG